RNAcentral lists this ribosomal RNA (506 nucleotides) under uncultured bacterium. RNAcentral's name for it is "bacterial SSU rRNA". It matches the Rfam family "Bacterial small subunit ribosomal RNA", at positions 28 to 525 of the family's 1533-position model. The record is from RNAcentral.
GACGAACGCUGGCGGCGUGGAUUAGGCAUGCAAGUCGAACGGUAUCAUCCUUUCGGGGGUGAGAGAGUGGCGAACUGGUGAGUAACACGUAGGUUAUCUACCCUCAAGACGGGGACAACCCAGGGAAACUUGGGCUAAUACCGGAUGUGAGCAACUUUUAGUUGUUUGAAAGGUGGCGUAAGCUGUCGCUUGGGGAUGAGCCUGCGUCCUAUUAGUUAGUUGGUGAGGUAACGGCUCACCUAGGCAAUGAUAGGUAGGCGGCCUUAACGGGUGGUCGCCCACACUGGGAUUGAGAUACGGCCCAGACUCCUACGGGAGGCAGCAGUCGAGAAUAGUCUACAAUGGUCGGAAGACUGAUAGUGCGACGCCGCGUGAACGAUGAAUCCCUUCGGGGUGUAAAGUUCUUUUAUAUGUGAGCAGUGCUUCUUAUAUUAACAGUAUGGGGAAGAGAUAUUAGCAUAUGAAUAAGCAACGGCUAACUCCGUGCCAGCCAGCCGACGGUAAAA